UAGCCAAGGAUCUUUAAUGUUUUAUAAUUGU
Molecule: non-coding RNA, 31 nt
Filed under: Mus musculus (house mouse)
Lineage: Eukaryota; Metazoa; Chordata; Mammalia; Rodentia; Muridae
Source: RNAcentral